RNAcentral lists this signal recognition particle RNA (299 nucleotides) under Cebus imitator (Panamanian white-faced capuchin). RNAcentral describes it as "Metazoan signal recognition particle RNA (ENSCCAG00000004100.1)". It matches the Rfam family "Metazoan signal recognition particle RNA". From Rfam's summary of the family: The signal recognition particle (SRP) is a universally conserved ribonucleoprotein. It is involved in the co-translational targeting of proteins to membranes. The eukaryotic SRP consists of a 300-nucleotide 7S RNA and six proteins: SRPs 72, 68, 54, 19, 14, and 9. Lineage: Eukaryota; Metazoa; Chordata; Mammalia; Primates; Cebidae. The record is from RNAcentral.
GCCGGGCUCGGUGGCACGUGCCUAUAGUCCCAGCUACUUGGGAGGCUGAGGCUGGAGGAUCUCUUGAGUCCAGGGGUUCUGGGCUGUAGUGCACUAUGCCAGUCGGGUGUCUGCACUAAGUUCGGCAUCAAUAUGGUGGCCUCCCGGGAGUGGGGGACCACCAGGUUGCCUAAGGAGGGGUGAACCGGCCCAGGUCAGAAAUGGAGCGGGUCAAAACUCCCAUGCUGAUCAGUAGUGGGAUCCCACCUGUGAAUAGCCACUGCACUCCAGCCUGGGCAACAUAGCAAGAUCCCGUUUCU